AUUGAACGCUGGCGGCAGGCCUAACACAUGCAAGUCGAGCGGAGCGGCGGACGGGUGAGUAAUGCCUAGGAAUCUGCCUGGUAGUGGGGGCUAACGUCCGGAAACGGGCGCUAAUACCGCAUACUAUCAGAUGAGCCUAGGUCGGAUUAGCUCGUUGGUGGGGUAAAGGCCUACCAAGGCGACGAUCCGUGACUGGUCUGAGAGGAGUAUCAGUCAAACUGGAACUGAGACACGGUCCAGACUCCGACGGUGGGCAGAGUGGGGGAAUAUUGGACAAUGGGCGAAAGCGUGAUCCAGCCAUGCCGCGUGUGUGAAGAAGGUCUUCGGAUUGUAAAGCACUUUAAGUUGGGAGGCGUUACCAGCAGAAGAAGCACCGGCUAACUUCGUGCCAGCAGCCGCGGUAAUUC
Molecule: ribosomal RNA, 407 nt
Filed under: uncultured bacterium
Lineage: Bacteria
Description: partial 16S ribosomal RNA
Rfam family: Bacterial small subunit ribosomal RNA
Source: RNAcentral